GAGCCCGGCGGACGCUGGGUCUGCAGAUGCCAUCCAGGCGCACGGCGGGUAUAGUGGUUCCGCAACCUUGGGAUGUUCGGCUGAGCGCCUGCCUAACAUGGGAGCGCCUGCCUAACCCUCCUGACUGGAGGGUCAGCGGCGGGGAGUCCUGGCCUUCAAUCGGCCAUCGCCACGGCAGAAACUGGGGCCCGGGCUGCGUCCAGGCCCUUCCCCGUCCGUCCACAGGUCUCAUGGGCGCCCGGACUGGGGCUGAUGUAGUUUCCCGACCUCUGACACAUAGGAUCUGGAGAUUAAAGCUGCUCUGCUAAUAAUUAGGUUCCCACCUCUCAAGAUCAUUAGGAGCUUCUUUUCCAAUUCCUCUGUUUUGCAUGCAUUGGAAGGAUCUGGAGCUCAGGACCCACUACCUCCCCGGCCCACUGCAAGCUUGAACAUUUGAUGGUGGACACCCCUCCCUGACUUUGUAUUAUGUGUCACUGGUGUGGGGGUUACCUUCCCACUAUGUCUCCCAGAAGACAUGAGGGCACAGACUACAGUGCCUGUGGACAGAGGAGCUGUGGGGAUGGAAGUGUGAUUGCUUCAUUCAAAUGCACGCCCCGGUGCGUGUGCGUCUCUUCUGAUGCAGCUCCCCAUGGCUGAAUACUUCUGUAUGUCAGCUUAGCACCCCUAGCAUCAGCCAUGCUACUCUCCUGCUGUGCAUAGAUGGGGGCCUGUCCCCCUGCUGAAUCUCCUGGGUUCCUGCUGUCAACACCUGAAGGCCCCUGGAUCCUCCUGGAAUCCCUGAUCCCUGUUGCUCCCUGGCGGAGUUUUCUAGUCCCUCUUACUUGAAGCAUGUCUUUCAGAGCCCGGCACCACCCAAGUUGGGUAUCUGAUACCCCAUCAGCCUGAGUCUCUUAAAGGCCUUUAUACACAUAUGUCUACACAUAGGGAUUUGGAUGAUCUCGGGAUCCCACAUCCUCGCUGUCCCCUGUCCCCCCACAACAUCCCACACCAAUACCUUUCUGAAGUUUUCUAGUCCCUCCUUUUUGUUUGUGGUCCUUAAAGCCCAGCCCCAUGCCUGACUUUGGUUCCCAGUGAGCAUUGUACAUUUGUGGAUAUUAAAUCUUUGGCAAAGUCAUUU
Molecule: long non-coding RNA, 1117 nt
Filed under: Homo sapiens (human)
Lineage: Eukaryota; Metazoa; Chordata; Mammalia; Primates; Hominidae
Description: HSALNT0397809
Source: RNAcentral